AAUCGUAAAUAAUUGGGAAAAUGAAGUAGAGUUACCAGCGUCUUUUUGGGAGAUGGAAAAAUUAAGGCAUGUUAAGAUUUGGGAUGCUAAAUUUGAUUUGGAAGAGGAUAAUCAGGGAUCCUCCGAAUUGGAAAAUUUGAGGAUAUUACAGUAUGUAAAAUUUCCAAUUGAUGGAAGGGAUAGGGUGGAUAUGUUAUCAAGGAGGUGUCCAAAUCUUCAAAAACUGCACAUCAACUUGGAAUAUCGGGGCAGUAAUAAUUCGGCAGAUUUAUUUUGUCUCACAUUAGAGAAUCUUACUCAGCUUCAAAAUCUUCGCCUAACUGUUGAGAGGUCCAACAUUGUAUCUGGGUUACAAUUGCCUUCAA
RNAcentral lists this unclassified non-coding RNA (365 nucleotides) under Hevea brasiliensis (rubber tree). The record is from RNAcentral. Lineage: Eukaryota; Viridiplantae; Streptophyta; Magnoliopsida; Malpighiales; Euphorbiaceae.